RNAcentral lists this ribosomal RNA (254 nucleotides) under uncultured bacterium. RNAcentral describes it as "partial 16S ribosomal RNA". It matches the Rfam family "Bacterial small subunit ribosomal RNA", at positions 524 to 776 of the family's 1533-position model. The record is from RNAcentral.
CACGUAGGGGGCGAGCGUUGUCCGGAUUUAUUGGGCGUAAAGAGCUCGUAGGCGGCUCAGUAAGUCAGGUGUGAAAACUCCAGGCUCAACCUGGAGACGCCACUUGAUACUGCUGCGGCUAGAGUCCGGUAGGGGAGCAUGGAAUUCCUGGUGUAGCGGUGAAAUGCGCAGAUAUCAGGAGGAACACCAGUGGCGAAGGCGGUGCUCUGGGCCGGAACUGACGCUGAGGAGCGAAAGCGUGGGGAGCAAACGGG